RNAcentral lists this ribosomal RNA (400 nucleotides) under Escherichia coli. RNAcentral's name for it is "bacterial SSU rRNA". It matches the Rfam family "Bacterial small subunit ribosomal RNA", at positions 1 to 397 of the family's 1533-position model. Lineage: Bacteria; Pseudomonadati; Pseudomonadota; Gammaproteobacteria; Enterobacterales; Enterobacteriaceae. RNAcentral also lists the same sequence under 1 other name. The record is from RNAcentral.
AAAUUGAAGAGUUUGAUCAUGGCUCAGAUUGAACGCUGGCGGCAGGCCUAACACAUGCAAGUCGAACGGUAACAGGAAACAGCUUGCUGUUUCGCUGACGAGUGGCGGACGGGUGAGUAAUGUCUGGGAAACUGCCUGAUGGAGGGGGAUAACUACUGGAAACGGUAGCUAAUACCGCAUAACGUCGCAAGACCAAAGAGGGGGACCUUCGGGCCUCUUGCCAUCGGAUGUGCCCAGAUGGGAUUAGCUUGUUGGUGGGGUAACGGCUCACCAAGGCGACGAUCCCUAGCUGGUCUGAGAGGAUGACCAGCCACACUGGAACUGAGACACGGUCCAGACUCCUACGGGAGGCAGCAGUGGGGAAUAUUGCACAAUGGGCGCAAGCCUGAUGCAGCCAUGC